Long non-coding RNA from Mytilus californianus (California mussel), 4810 nucleotides. RefSeq lists it as uncharacterized. The record is from RefSeq and is a predicted model, not a curated record. Lineage: Eukaryota; Metazoa; Mollusca; Bivalvia; Mytilida; Mytilidae. The transcript has 7 exons.
UUCUUACAGUAUGACGUAAACGGAAAUACACUGAAAAUUACUGAAGUGCAUUGAUGUUUGUCAAAUCAGGCUAAUAACUGGUUCACUUUAAAAAUCCAGGGCAAUAGUAAUUAUAUAAAUUUGAAACUUAUGUAUCGUGUGGAAAUUAUAACUUAAGAACGUUGACAAAGAGAUUUGUAUUUCAGGGUACCUUCCUUUUAUGAAAAAUGAUGUUUGGUGCUGAAUAAUCCAGUUUUUAUUUACGCAGUUUACAACAAUAUGAAAAAUUAUGUGACGGUAUUGUCUAAAAUAUUCCUUUUUGUCUGCUUUAUUAAUCAAGGUCUUCAAAACAAGAUCAUAUUUUCAAUUUAUGGUAAAAUUAAAGAAUUCAACAUAAACACGGGAAACGUAUCAGAAAUCUUAAUCGACCAACAGAGUUAUAUACAUUGUUUUGAUUAUGACUCUAACAACGAAUACAUAUAUUUUCCAAGAGCUGACAAAAACGAUAUAUUGAGAUUUCGUUAUCCAUCAGAACAAGUUUAUAUGACAGAAACAGUGACUCAGGCAAGAAGGCCAAUAGGUGUCGCUAUUGAUCCAGUAGGCAAUCAUGUAUAUUGGACAGAACGAAUGGCACCAGAAGAGCUUAAGCGAUGUAAUUUCGAUGGGUCAAAUAAUAUAUCAAUACUUCAAAAUGGUCAACUAUAUGCUCUUACGUUAGAUUAUCGGAACAGAUGGUUGUAUUACAGUAUAUAUCCUACAAAUAGUGCAAUAAGACGAUCAAGAUUAAAUGGAACAGAAAAUCAGACAGUAUUAGAUGUUUCUACAGAACAGGUCACUGGUUUGAGUAUAGAUUAUAAUGGUGAUAGACUGUUUUGGCUUGAAAGAAAGAGUGGUGAUGUGAAAUCUUCCAAUUUUAAUGGAACUAACGUUGUCAACAUUGUCAGCACAAACGCAAACGAAAACUUGGGAAUACACGUACAUAAUGGCGACAUAUACUGUGCAAAUGGCAAACGAAUUCUACUGGUCACAUUAUCACCCAGAACUAAAACAAAUGUCAUGUAUUCUGAUAUAGAGAUGAUUUACGGUGUACUAUUUUACAAGGAAAAGGGUAAGUGUAUACCUGAUACAAAAAGCAGAUACAUAUACGUAGUAAGUCAAGCGCACGUCCCAAGAGCAUAACAGUUAUUACGACCAAAGUCAAAACAAUAGGAAGUUUAACCGCAUAAACAACCAAGAGAUUCUUAAAUGUAGUGCAAAAUCUUGCUUCUACGAGUAAAAGGAGAAAUUGGAUAUACGCAAAUGAGACAACAACCAAACGGCAAAUUUAAUUGGGAUUAAAAUGGCCUCCAUAUUGAAAAAGUAUCUUUAUAAUAUGCCAGGCUCUGAAUUGUUUUGAUUCUUUAACAUUUUUGAAUGAAUUAAACAGAAACAGAAACAGAAUCAGUCUAAGAUCCUCUCUGAACACCACGUUAUAUGCGCUUUUUAUAUUUUGAUUACAUUCCAAAAUUAUCGCUAUUUCUGUUUUUGGAUAACAUAUUUACGGUAAGUAACUCAAUUAAUGUAAUAGAUGUAUUGCACCGUGCAUUUAAGUAACUUACAGGUAUUAAAUGACAAACAUUAUAUUAAUUUAUCAUGUUCUUUUUCAUUAUCAUUUUGUUACGGAAGAGCAACUUGUAAAAGACCGUUUUAUUUUUGUUUGUACAUGUAGUUUUGUAUUUAUUAUGAUUAUUAUGAUACAUUUUAAUGUUUAUUUGCAUCUUUUUCUUUUAUUUAUAUAUCAGUGUUACAAUAUGUUAUGUGAUUGCUAGUUGCUUGCUUUUCUUUGCAGAUGUUUUAUUUAUUUAUUAACACCAACCACUUGAUAAUUACAAACAUUUUCAACCAAAAUAUACACUAAACUCGUUAUUCAAUAUCUAUCAGAGUCCUUAAUACGAGGUAUUUCCUGGCAUUGCUAUUUUGUGAUGGUUAAUCUGUAGAAUUCACAUGAUAGUCACAUGAUAUUUAACAGCUUCAUAAUGUUGCAUAAUUUUAUAUACUGUCGUGUACAUGGUAUAGUUUGUAGAUUUAUAACAUGCAUUACUAUAUCGUUCUUUUUUAUCAUUUCUUUUACUGUUUUAUAGUUGUAACGAAAAUAUGUUACCUAUGUCUACCAAGAUAUUAAUUUUAAUCUUAGGCGUUACUUAUAUUAAAAAUUUGAUAUACUCAAGCUUGCUUGGUCUUUAAAUGUGAGUAUUUUUAAACAUUUAUAAAGUUACCAAUGACUGCAAAUAACGUUUACAUUUGUAUUCUAGUAUUUGAAUUUUAUAUGCAUAUAUACUCAGAUGUUGAAUUGUUCUCAGUUUCAAGUAUAAAUUAGGCUCUUAUCUGUUUCAUGCCGUGUUUUUCGGUAGUAUUACUAGCCAGCUGUUACUUUAAACGACAGUACAUAGUGGGUAAGAUUUUUUCUAAAAUAUUCAAGAUAUAUGGGCAUGUGUUUCUUUCAAUUAUUGUUAUAUUAGAAGAUUUAUUUAUAGCAUUACUUUACGAUAUGACUCAAAGAGCACAUGCACAACUGUAGGCAAGUUCCUUGAUGUAGAUCAAAAUUGCCACUGUUCAUUAAUAAAUAUAUUUGAAAUAUUUAGAUACUACAUACAAACAAAGUGAAUGCAUGUGAUAGUAUAUUAUAAACACACUCUGGAAAGCUCGACACUCAUCAGUAGACUGGCAAAAUCAUAGCAAAAAAAAAAAAAAAACGACUGACAACACCUCACAGAAUCGUCUUGUAUAUAUAUAGGGAUCCGGAAAGGUUAACAUAUCCUGCUUCAUAAGCUACCUCCGUAGCUUCAGCGCAUUUAAUAGAAAAGUCCUCUAAUAAACAAGAAACAAAACAACGGAUAAAACCCUAAUAUCAAUAGCAUGAUGCGUGUUAUAACAUUUGAUUGUGUUUAAGGUUUCGUUUAGAAUUUGUGAAAGUAUGAUAUAGUACUUCUGCAAUAAUUGUGUGGCCGUAGCUGAGUGGUAUCGGAAAUAAACUGCAGAACUGGAUAGUUAUCGGGGAGACAUUAUGCGUGUGGUAGCGAUUAAUAGUAAACAAGAUCAGGACGGAUGUCAAUUAAAAUUUUUAUAACACAACCUGAAGAAUAAUAUUUUAUCAGCCACCAUUUACUUUGACUUUAUGAUAUGUCAUCUUUGAAGCAGAACUUUUAUAAUACUAACGUAUAUUGCAUUUGCGUAUGUAGUGUGAUUGCAUGUCAAAUUUAAUUUUUUUGUUUAAAUAAACAGUAGUAAUUAUAUUUUAUUUUGUUAAUAAUAACAGAUAAAGUUCACACUUGUUAAAUUCUUCACCAAAACGUACUGCAAAAUUGCAUGCACAUUUUUGUUUCUAGUUGUUCUUAUUUGAAGACAAAAAUAGUCAUUUUAAUCAAACAGUAGGUGUGAUCAUACUAUUUUGCUCAUCUUCUGUAAACAUUUUAGAUUUGUUAAAGGUACACAUGGCAAAUAUGUCUACUAUGUUUCAUGUAGUUGCACAGAUACGCCGGUAUUUUUAACCCAUAACUGAUCGAUUAUGUGUUUAGUAAAGAUUGAUUCAACCAAUUGAUGUCACAAAAUUUAUUUUUCAGAAUAUUUUCAGGAAUUUAAUGCUUUUUAUGGUAAUUGUAUGUUAGAAAUUAUUUCAAAUUAACGAUUGUAUCUCCCUCAUGCAAAGCUCAGAUUCCUAACCCGGCUUUGGCUAUACUUUUUGGAUUAUAGCUCUUCAUCUUUUUAAUAAGCUUUGGAUUUUCAAAUAUUUUGGUGUCGGGCUUCACUGAAGGGACAUUUAUUGUCGAAAUUCGUACCUGGGGCAAAAAAAUUGGUAGGUUAAUGUUAUUAUGUUAAUAUUUUGAAACAUAAAAUGUAAUACUGUAUUAAGGGAAGACCAUUUGAUAUUCUGGGGGGGGGGGGGGGGGGGGGGGGGUAGGGUGGGGGUAGGGGCAGGAGGAUUUUAAAAAUUAAUUAUUCCGCCUUGAUAAUGACAAAAAUGAAUGAUUCGUUCUGUGGUAGUUUGAAAAAAAAAUCUGAGCUACUAUGUAUUGAAAAUUAAUAUCUCAACAGGUCUUUUAAACCAUUUUAUAAAUGCAUGUUUUAAAGUAUGAGAUGGCACCAGAUUCUACAAAAACUCUUCUUUAUUCAUAUUUUUUCGGAAAAAAACUUCUCAAAUAUUUAAUAAAAUAUAAACUACACCAUAAAUAAAUAUUAAUGUUUUUGAAAUGUCUGAACAUGGAUUUCAUUUCACUUACGGUAUAUUGUCUCACGAACAUUAACCUCACUUUUAUACCUUUUCACAUUUUAACCUGUAUUGUUUUAUUGUGUACGUAUGCAUUAUGUACAGUUUUAAAUUAAAUUGUAAAUAAUGUAUUUCAUCUCAUCGAAUUAUAUUAAAAUCAGUCGGGUCCAGGACCAAUCCAGUAUAUAUUUUUAUAAUCCUUUGUAAUAAUUCCAUUUUCUAUGUACAUGUAUCUAGAGUUAUAUAGAAUUGGUUUACUCAAUGUAUGAUGAUAAUUUUUUGUUAUGGAAUACUUUUUUCAGCAUUUAUUUUUGUACUAUUAAAGAAAUUCAUACGUGUUUGUAAUUUUAAUAGUGUGUGUAUUCUUAGAAAAGAAUCACAGAGCUGAGUCUGCGUUUCUUUUUAUUUAAAAGGUUUUUCGGUUAAUAUCGUAUGGACCUAGGCCUAGGUCAUGACCAUAUGUUUUCCUUUUUGUAAAAUUAAGAAUUGUUCGAAUUUGAUUUUUACGUAUGGGGAUACGACAUCUGUUUAUACAUUCGUUUUUUUCUUUCUUUCUUUAUAUUCCUUUGAUUAAAUAUUUUUCUGUUA